RNAcentral lists this ribosomal RNA (306 nucleotides) under Triticum aestivum (bread wheat). Its description in RNAcentral is "partial small subunit ribosomal RNA". The record is from RNAcentral. Lineage: Eukaryota; Viridiplantae; Streptophyta; Magnoliopsida; Poales; Poaceae.
AUGGCCUCGAGGAGCACCGCCCUCGUGCUCCUCCUCUCGCUGCUCCUCUCGUCCGUCGCCGUGAGCAGCGCGGCGAGGAAGCUGCAGGAGCAGGAGACGGCUCCGCCCUCGGAAGAAGAGCCGUCCGCACCACACCUGACCGGGCUGCCAGACUACGAGCUGCCGCCGAUGCCUAAGUUUGAGCUCCCGCCAUUCCCAGAGAUGCACCUGCCGCCGUUCCCGGGAACGCCGUGGAAGCCGGCGACGCGCACGCCCACCCUUACCGGGUUCUUCUUCCCACAGCCGGAGCCGGAGGCCAAUCCAUGA